RNAcentral lists this ribosomal RNA (502 nucleotides) under uncultured bacterium. RNAcentral's name for it is "partial 16S ribosomal RNA". It matches the Rfam family "Bacterial small subunit ribosomal RNA", at positions 30 to 523 of the family's 1533-position model. The record is from RNAcentral.
AUUGAACGCUGGCGGCAGGCUUAACACAUGCAAGUCGAGCGGGGUGAUGGUGCUUGCACUAUCACUUAGCGGCGGACGGGUGAGUAAUGCUUAGGAACCUGCCUAUUAGUGGGGGACAACAUCUCGAAAGGGAUGCUAAUACCGCAUACGUCCUACGGGAGAAAGCAGGGGAUCACUUGUGACCUUGCGCUAAUAGAUGAGCCUAAGUCGGGUUAGCUAGUUGGUGGGGUAAAGGCCUACCAAGGCGACGAUCUGUAGCGGGUCUGAGAGGAUGAUCCGCCACACUGGGACUAGGACCCGGCCAGACUCCUACGGGGGGCAGCAGUGGGGAAUAUUGGACAAUGGGGGGAACCCUGAUCCAGCCAUGCCGCGUGUGUGAAGAAGGCCUUAUGGUUGUAAAGCACUUUAAGCGAGGAGGAGGCUCUUUUGGUUAAUACCCAAGAUGAGUGGACGUUACUCGCAGAAUAAGCACCGGCUAACUCUGUGCCAGCAGCCGCCGUAA